Molecule: ribosomal RNA, 446 nt
Filed under: uncultured bacterium
Lineage: Bacteria
Description: bacterial SSU rRNA
Rfam family: Bacterial small subunit ribosomal RNA
Source: RNAcentral
UGGGGAAUAUUGGACAAUGGGCGAAAGCCUGAUCCAGCCAUGCCGCGUGAGUGACGAAGGUCUUCGGAUUGUAAAGCUCUUUUGGCGGGACGAUAAUGACGGUACCCGCAGAAUAAGCCCCGGCUAACUUCGUGCCAGCAGCCGCGGUAAUACGAAGGGGGCUAGCGUUGUUCGGAAUUACUGGGCGUAAAGCGCACGUAGGCGGACUGAUAAGUCAGGGGUGAAAUCCCGGGGCUCAACCUCGGAACUGCCUUUGAUACUGUUAGUCUCGAGUCCGGAAGAGGUGAGUGGAAUUCCUAGUGUAGAGGUGAAAUUCGUAGAUAUUAGGAAGAACACCAGUGGCGAAGGCGGCUCACUGGUCCGGUACUGACGCUGAGGUGCGAAAGCGUGGGGAGCAAACAGGAUUAGAUACCCAGGUAGUCCCUGAGCGGGCUGGCAAGGCGCAU